Molecule: ribosomal RNA, 253 nt
Filed under: uncultured bacterium
Lineage: Bacteria
Description: partial 16S ribosomal RNA
Rfam family: Bacterial small subunit ribosomal RNA
Source: RNAcentral
GACGUAGGGGGCCAGCGUUGUUCGGAAUUACUGGGUGUAAAGGGUUCGUAGGCGGUGUGGCAAGUCGGGAGUGAAAUCUCUGGGCUCAACUCAGAGACUGCUUCCGAAACUGCUGUGCUGGAGUGUGGGAGAGGCGCGUGGAAUUGCAGGUGUAGCGGUGAAAUGCGUAGAUAUCUGCAGGAACACCCGUGGCGAAAGCGGCGCGCUGGACCACUACUGACGCUGAGGAACGAAAGCUAGGGGAGCAAACAGG